CCGCGGGAUUAGAGUUUGAUCCUGGCUCAGAGCGAACGCUGGCGGCAUGCUUAACACAUGCAAGUCGCACGGGCAGGGGUAACCCUGUCAGUGGCGGACGGGUGAGUAACGCGUAGGUAUCUAUCCUUGGGUGGGGGACAACUGUGGGAAACUACAGCUAAUACCGCAUGAUAACUGAGGUUUAAAGGCGCAAGUCGCCUGAGGAGGAGCCUGCGUACGAUUAGCUAGUUGGUGGGGUAAAGGCCUACCAAGGCUGUGAUCGUUAGCUGGUCUGAGAGGAUGAUCAGCCACAUUGGGACUGAGACACGGCCCAAACUCCUACGGGAGGCAGCAGUGGGGAAUAUUGGACAAUGGGCGAAAGCCUGAUCCAGCAAUGCCGCGUGUGUGAAGAAGGUCUUCGGAUUGUAAAGCACUUUCGACGGGGACGAUGAUGACGGUACCCGUAGAAGAAGCCCCGGCUAACUUCGUGCCAGCAGCCGCGGUAAUACGAAGGGGGCUAGCGUUGCUCGGAAUGACUGGGCGUAAAGGGCGCGUAGGCGGAUGGCACAGUCAGAUGUGAAAUUCCCGGGCUUAACCUGGGGGCUGCAUUUGAUACGUGUUGUCUAGAGUGAGGAAGAGGGUUGUGGAAUUCCCAGUGUAGAGGUGAAAUUCGUAGAUAUUGGGAAGAACACCGGUGGCGAAGGCGGCAACCUGGUCCUUGACUGACGCUGAGGCGCGAAAGCGUGGGGAGCAAACAGGAUUAGAUACCCUGGUAGUCCACGCUGUAAACGAUGUGUGCUGGAUGUUGGGCGACCUAGUCGCUCAGUGUCGUAGCUAACGCGAUAAGCACACCGCCUGGGGAGUACGGC
RNAcentral lists this ribosomal RNA (848 nucleotides) under uncultured Alphaproteobacteria bacterium. Its description in RNAcentral is "bacterial SSU rRNA". It matches the Rfam family "Bacterial small subunit ribosomal RNA", at positions 1 to 886 of the family's 1533-position model. Lineage: Bacteria; Pseudomonadati; Pseudomonadota; Alphaproteobacteria. The record is from RNAcentral.